GACGAACGCUGGCGGCGUGCUUAACACAUGCAAGUCGAACGGAAAGGCCCUGCUUUUGUGGGGUGCUCGAGUGGCGAACGGGUGAGUAACACGUGAGUAACCUGCCCUUGACUUUGGGAUAACUUCAGGAAACUGGGGCUAAUACCGGAUAGGAGCUCCUGCUGCAUGGUGGGGGUUGGAAAGUUUCGGCGGUUAGGGAUGGACUCGCGGCUUAUCAGCUUGUUGGUGGGGUAGUGGCUUACGAAGGCUUUGACGGGUAGCCGGCCUGAGAGGGUGACCGGCCACAUUGGGACUGAGAUACGGCCCAGACUCCUACGGGAGGCAGCAGUGGGGAAUAUUGCACAAUGGGCGGAAGCCUGAUGCAGCAACGCCGCGUGCGGGAUGACGGCCUUCGGGUUGUAAACCGCUUUCGCCUGUGACGAAGCGUGAGUGACGGUAAUGGGUAAAGAAGCACCGGCUAACUACGUG
RNAcentral lists this ribosomal RNA (468 nucleotides) under uncultured bacterium. Its description in RNAcentral is "partial 16S ribosomal RNA". It matches the Rfam family "Bacterial small subunit ribosomal RNA", at positions 28 to 507 of the family's 1533-position model. The record is from RNAcentral.